CCUACGGGAGGCAGCAGUGGGGAAUAUUGCGCAAUGGGCGAAAGCCUGACGCAGCGACGCCGCGUGAGGGAUGAAGGUCUUCGGAUCGUAAACCUCUGUCAGCAGGGAAGAACGGUCACUGUGCUAAUCAGCAGUGAAUUGACGGUACCUGCAAAGGAAGCAACGGCUAACUCCGUGCCAGCAGCCGCGGUAAUACGGAGGGUGCGAGCGUUAAUCGGAGUUACUGGGCGUAAAGCGCUCGUAGGCGGUAUGUCAAGUCAAGGGUGAAAUCCCCGCGCUCAACGUGGGAAGUGCCGUUGAAACUGGCAAACUGGAGUGUGUGAGAGGAUAGUGGAAUUCGAGGUGUAGGAGUGAAAUGCGUAGAUAUCUGGAGGAACAUCAGUGGCGAAGGCGACUAUCUGGCACAUAACUGACGCUGAGGAGCGAAAGCGUGGGUAGCGAACAGGAUUAGAUACCCCUGUAGUC
RNAcentral lists this ribosomal RNA (465 nucleotides) under uncultured bacterium. Its description in RNAcentral is "partial 16S ribosomal RNA". It matches the Rfam family "Bacterial small subunit ribosomal RNA", at positions 338 to 795 of the family's 1533-position model. The record is from RNAcentral.